This 541-nucleotide ribosomal RNA is filed under the name Salmonella enterica. Its description in RNAcentral is "partial 23S ribosomal RNA". It matches the Rfam family "Bacterial large subunit ribosomal RNA", at positions 2393 to 2925 of the family's 2925-position model. The record is from RNAcentral. RNAcentral also lists the same sequence under 1 other name. Lineage: Bacteria; Pseudomonadati; Pseudomonadota; Gammaproteobacteria; Enterobacterales; Enterobacteriaceae.
GCAGGUGCGAAAGCAGGUCAUAGUGAUCCGGUGGUUCUGAAUGGAAGGGCCAUCGCUCAACGGAUAAAAGGUACUCCGGGGAUAACAGGCUGAUACCGCCCAAGAGUUCAUAUCGACGGCGGUGUUUGGCACCUCGAUGUCGGCUCAUCACAUCCUGGGGCUGAAGUAGGUCCCAAGGGUAUGGCUGUUCGCCAUUUAAAGUGGUACGCGAGCUGGGUUUAGAACGUCGUGAGACAGUUCGGUCCCUAUCUGCCGUGGGCGCUGGAGAACUGAGGGGGGCUGCUCCUAGUACGAGAGGACCGGAGUGGACGCAUCACUGGUGUUCGGGUUGUCAUGCCAAUGGCACUGCCCGGUAGCUAAAUGCGGAAGAGAUAAGUGCUGAAAGCAUCUAAGCACGAAACUUGCCCCGAGAUGAGUUCUCCCUGAGACUUAGAGUCUCCUGAAGGAACGUUGAAGACGACGACGUUGAUAGGCCGGGUGUGUAAGCGCAGCGAUGCGUUGAGCUAACCGGUACUAAUGAACCGUGAGGCUUAACCUUACA